AAGUCGUAACAAGGUCUCCGUUGGUGAACCAGCGGAGGGAUCAUUACCGAGUUUACAACUCCCAAACCCGAUGUGAACCUUACCUAUCGUUGCUUCGGCGGGACCGCCCCGGCGCCGACUCAGGCCCGGACCCAGGCGCCCGCCGGAGGCCCGAAACUCUUGCUGCUGUCAAGUUUUCUCCUCUGAUUGCACAAAAACAAAAUAAAUCAAAACUUUCAACAACGGAUCUCUUGGUUCUGGCAUCGAUGAAGAACGCAGCGAAAUGCGAUAAGUAAUGUGAAUUGCAGAAUUCAGUGAAUCAUCGAAUCUUUGAACGCACAUUGCGCCCGCCAGUAUUCUGGCGGGCAUGCCUGUUCGAGCGUCAUUUCAACCCUCAGGCCCCGCCUGGCGUUGGGGAUCGGCGCGGCGCGGCUCCCCGGAGCGGCGCUGCCGGCCCCGAAAUUGAGUGGCGGUCUCGCCGUAGUCCUCUGCGUAGUAGCUAACACCUCGCACUGGAACGCGGCGCGGCCAAGCCGUAAAACACCCCACUUCUGAAAGUUGACCUCGGAUCAGGUAGGAAUACCCGCUGAACUUAA
This 575-nucleotide ribosomal RNA is filed under the name uncultured fungus. RNAcentral's name for it is "eukaryotic LSU rRNA". The stretch from base 211 to 364 matches the Rfam family "5.8S ribosomal RNA". Lineage: Eukaryota; Fungi. The record is from RNAcentral.